UUAUUAUUAUUUUUCUUUUCUUCUUUAUUCUAUUGAUUUCUCACGCGAAAAGAAUGUUUCAAUCCUUGCACGCGUUUCCCUCGAAUCUCUUAUAUCGGACGUAUGAAGAGUAAUUUGCUAGGAGCUCGGUCGCCAAGUCUCUUCUCUGUCAAGAAAAUGUCCGCUCUGGGGAAGAGCGUUUUUUUUUUCCUUUUUCCGUUCGCGGUACGCGAGGUUGACUCGUUUCAAGUAGUAUAGUAGCGUUUUAGAUCCACUGGAGAGACGUUAUUCACCGCUCGUUAUUCGA
This is a long non-coding RNA of Apis florea (little honeybee), 286 nucleotides long. The record is from RefSeq and is a predicted model, not a curated record. NCBI's taxonomy places the organism in Eukaryota, Metazoa, Arthropoda, Insecta, Hymenoptera, Apidae.